Tachyglossus aculeatus (Australian echidna) is the source of this 139-nucleotide small nucleolar RNA. The record is from RefSeq and is a predicted model, not a curated record. NCBI's taxonomy places the organism in Eukaryota, Metazoa, Chordata, Mammalia, Monotremata, Tachyglossidae.
AGUCUCUCGGUGUCGCACCUGGGAGAGUUUCCAGUAUUCUACCAGUCUCGACUAUGGGAGUGAAAGUCAAGCAGAGGCCUGUCCAUUCCAUUCCUAGCUUGGGCAGUGGCUAGCGAGUGGAAGGCAAUCUGCUACAAGU